AUUGAACGCUGGCGGCAGGCCUAACACAUGCAAGUCGCACGAGUGGCGGACGGGUGAGUAAUGUCUGGGAAACUGCCUGAUGGAGGGGGAUAACUACUGGAAACGGUAGCUAAUACCGCAUACCAUCGGAUGUGCCAAGAGGGGAUUAGCUAGUAGGUGGGGUAAAGGUUCACCUCGGCGACGAUCCCUAGCUGGUCUGAGAGGAUGACCAGCCAAACUGGAAAGGAGUCACGGUCCAGACUCCUACGGGAGGCAGCAGUGGGGAAUAUGGCACAAUGGGCGCAAGCCUGAUGCAGCCAUGCCGCGUGUAUGAAGAAGGCCUUCGGGUUGUAAAGGACUUUCAGCGGGGAGGCGUUACCCGCAGAAGAAGCACCGGCUAACUCCGUGCCAGCAGCCGCGGUAAUUC
This 406-nucleotide ribosomal RNA is filed under the name uncultured bacterium. Its description in RNAcentral is "partial 16S ribosomal RNA". It matches the Rfam family "Bacterial small subunit ribosomal RNA", at positions 30 to 526 of the family's 1533-position model. The record is from RNAcentral.